CAGUAGCCGCGGUAACACGAAGGGUGCAAGCGUUACUCGGAAUUACUGGGCGUAAAGCGUGCGUAGGUGGUGGUUUAAGUCCGUUGUGAAAGCCCUGGGCUCAACCUGGGAAUUGCAGUGGAUACUGGGUCACUAGAGUGUGGUAGAGGAUAGUGGAAUUUCCGGUGUAGCAGUGAAAUGCGUAGAGAUCGGAAGGAACAUCUGUGGCGAAGGCGACUAUCUGGGCCAACACUGACACUGAGGCACGAAAGCGUGGGGAGCAAACAGGAUCAGAUACCCGCGUAGUCCCUGUCUCUUAUAC
RNAcentral lists this ribosomal RNA (301 nucleotides) under uncultured bacterium. RNAcentral's name for it is "partial 16S ribosomal RNA". It matches the Rfam family "Bacterial small subunit ribosomal RNA", at positions 509 to 807 of the family's 1533-position model. The record is from RNAcentral.